Molecule: ribosomal RNA, 389 nt
Filed under: uncultured bacterium
Lineage: Bacteria
Description: bacterial SSU rRNA
Rfam family: Bacterial small subunit ribosomal RNA
Source: RNAcentral
GACGAACGCUGGCGGCGUGCUUAACACAUGCAAGUCGAGCGGUAAGGCCCUUUCGGGGGUACACGAGCGGCGAACGGGUGAGUAACACGUGGGUGGCCUGCCCUCAGCUCUGGGAUAAGCCUGGGAAACCGGGUCUAAUACCGGAUAUGACUCCAUGACGCAUGUUGUGGGGUGGAAAGCCUUGUGCGGCUGAGGAUGGGCCCGCGGCCUAUCAGCUUGUUGGUGGGGUGAUGGCCUACCAAGGCGACGACGGGUAGCCGGCCUGAGAGGGCGACCGGCCACACUGGGACUGAGACACGGCCCAGACUCCUACGGGAGGCAGCAGUGGGGAAUCUUGCGCAAGUGGGCGAAAGCCUGACGCAGCGACGCCGCGUGAGGGAUGACGGCCU